CAAUGGCCUCCGCGCUUCGCGGGAGUCCUCCCGGCUAAGCGAAACCCCGGCUCCUGUUUGCAAAACAGAUUUUUAAUGCCGGUCACAAUGCCAGGUGGAGGACGCUCAACGGCUCUGAGUCUGCCAUGAAGAUGAAUGUGUGCACACGCACACACACAAUCCCAGACCACAGAGAACACCAUCAACACUGCUGACUCCCAUCUCUUGUUUUCGUGGCCCUUGGCUACCACGACUGCUGCCUGUUACCUAAUUGCAAUAAGGACUUGAGCAUUCACUUG
This is a long non-coding RNA of Leopardus geoffroyi (Geoffroy's cat), 278 nucleotides long. RefSeq lists it as uncharacterized. Lineage: Eukaryota; Metazoa; Chordata; Mammalia; Carnivora; Felidae. The transcript is spliced from 2 exons. The record is from RefSeq and is a predicted model, not a curated record.